ACGGGGGGAGCAAGCGUUGUUCGGAUUUACUGGGCGUAAAGGGCGCGUAGGCGGCCUCCGCAAGUCAGUUGUGAAAUCUCCGAGCUUAACUCGGAAAGGUCAACUGAUACUGCGGGGCUAGAGUCCGGUAGGGGAGCGUGGAAUUCCUGGUGUAGCGGUGAAAUGCGCAGAUAUCAGGAGGAACACCAGCGGCGAAGGCGGCGCUCUGGGCCGGAACUGACGCUGAGGAGCGAAAGCGUGGGUAGCAAACAGGA
RNAcentral lists this ribosomal RNA (254 nucleotides) under uncultured prokaryote. RNAcentral describes it as "partial 16S ribosomal RNA". It matches the Rfam family "Bacterial small subunit ribosomal RNA", at positions 525 to 777 of the family's 1533-position model. The record is from RNAcentral.